RNAcentral lists this ribosomal RNA (870 nucleotides) under uncultured SAR86 cluster bacterium. RNAcentral describes it as "SSU rRNA". It matches the Rfam family "Bacterial small subunit ribosomal RNA", at positions 56 to 902 of the family's 1533-position model. Lineage: Bacteria; Pseudomonadati; Pseudomonadota; Gammaproteobacteria. The record is from RNAcentral.
UGCAGUCNAGCGGUAACAGACAUUUUGAUUUUGCUUGCAAAAUCUCGUGCUGACGAGCGGCGGACGGGUGAGUAACGCGUAGGAAUCUACCUAGUAGAAGGGGAUAGCCCGAGGAAACUCGGAUUAAUACCGUAUACGUCCUUAGGGAGAAAGAGGGSUGAGCUUGAUGCUCUCGCUAUUAGAUGAGCCUGCGUAAGAUUAGCUUGUUGGUGAGGUAAAGGCUCACCAAGGCUUACGAUCUUUAGCUGGUCUGAGAGGACGAUCAGCCCACAUUGGGACUGAGACACGGCCCCAGACUCCUACGGGAGGCAGCAGUGGGGAAUAUUGGACAAUGGGCGCAAGCCUGAUCCAGCCAUACCGCGUGUGUGAAGAAGGCUUUCGGGUUGUAAAGCACUUUAAGUGAGGAAGAAAAGAUAAUAGUUAAUACCUGUUAUCCGUGACAUUACUCACAGAAUAAGGACCGGCUAAUUCCGUGCCAGCAGCCGCGGUAAUACGGAAGGUCCAAGCGUUAAUCGGAAUUACUGGGCGUAAAGCGCGCGUAGGUGGUUUAUCAAGUUGGUUGUGAAAGCCCCGGGCUUAACCUGGGAACUGCAGCCAAAACUGAUUCACUAGAGUACGAAAGAGGAAAGUAGAAUUCACAGUGUAGCGGUGGAAUGCGUAGAUAUUGUGAAGAAUACCAAUUGCGAAGGCAGCUUUCUGGUUCUGUACUGACACUAAGGUGCGAAAGCGUGGGGAGCGAACAGGAUUAGAUACCCUGGUAGUCCACGCCGUAAACGAUGACAACCAGCUGUUGGGAAGCAAUGCUUUUCAGUGGCGCAGCUNACGUCUUAAGUUGUCCGCCUGGGGAGUACGGCCGCAAGGCUAAAACUC